AUGACCUUACUUGAACAGGAUCUGUUUACCGCUACAUCCUUUAGCAAUAUAAGGAGGCAAGCACUUCAGUUUGGUUGUGUUCCUGCCUGGUUUCACACUGGUGCAGGAUGGCCCAGAGGUUGUCUGACAGACU
This 133-nucleotide small nucleolar RNA is filed under the name Aegilops tauschii subsp. strangulata. Its description in RNAcentral is "snoRNA Plant_U3". The record is from RNAcentral. Lineage: Eukaryota; Viridiplantae; Streptophyta; Magnoliopsida; Poales; Poaceae.